This 497-nucleotide ribosomal RNA is filed under the name uncultured bacterium. Its description in RNAcentral is "partial 16S ribosomal RNA". It matches the Rfam family "Bacterial small subunit ribosomal RNA", at positions 28 to 507 of the family's 1533-position model. The record is from RNAcentral.
GAUGAACGCUGGCGGCGUGCCUAAUACAUGCAAGUCGAGCGAACGGACGAGAAGCUUGCUUCUCUGAUGUUAGCGGCGGACGGGUGAGUAACACGUGGAUAACCUACCUAUAAGACUGGGAUAACUUCGGGAAACCGGAGCUAAUACCGGAUGAUAUUUUGAACCGCAUGGUUCAAAAGUGAAAGACGGUCUUGCUGUCACUUAUAGAUGGAUCCGCGCUGCAUUAGCUAGUUGGUAAGGUAACGGCUUACCAAGGCAACGAUGCAUAGCCGACCUGAGAGGGUGAUCGGCCACACUGGAACUGAGACACGGUCCAGACUCCUACGGGAGGCAGCAGUAGGGAAUCUUCCGCAAAGGGCGAAAGCCUGACGGAGCAACGCCGCGUGAGUGAUGAAGGUCUUCGGAUCGUAAAACUCUGUUAUUAGGGAAGAAAAUAUGUGGAAGUAACUGUGCACAUCUUGACGGUACCUAAUCAGAAAGCCACGGCUAACUACGUG